This is a long non-coding RNA of Xiphophorus hellerii (green swordtail), 614 nucleotides long. RefSeq lists it as uncharacterized. The transcript is spliced from 3 exons. Lineage: Eukaryota; Metazoa; Chordata; Actinopteri; Cyprinodontiformes; Poeciliidae. The record is from RefSeq and is a predicted model, not a curated record.
GGCUCGGCUCGGUUCGGAUCCAAACAGACAGCAGCUCAUCGAUCACCGGUCGGAUCGAUCCGCCCAUCAGCAGCGGGGUCACGUGACUGCGGCGGGGCCGCUUUCAGAUCCCAGAAGAACUGGAAACCAGUGAAGACCAGGAAAACGUCCUCACUUUCCAGGAGGGCCUCAAGCUGUGGGUAAACUUGGAUGAAAGUGGUCCUCCAUAUGCAGUAAUACAAGUACACACACACACACACACCGCCAGUAGCCCACUUCCACUGCCCACUUCCACACACAAACCCACACACUCACACAUUCCUGUCCUCUAUUUAUAACCUGAAGCCCUUCAUUCAUAUCUGACUGUGUGUGUGUGUGUGGGUGUGUGUGUGUGGGUGUGUGUGUGUGUGUGUGUGUGAAACAUGGUAAUGUGACUAAUCGUGGUAGCGGCAUCAUGUGACCUGCAGCUAACGAGUUCCAAUUAGAUUCAUCAUAAUGUGAUGAAGAACGACCUGCUGACCUAUUGGACACCAGAACCAGGUUGGUCCAGAUACUGAAUCUGGAUGACGUCCGUCCGUCCGUCAGCAGGAAGUUCCUGAGGCUCCGCCUCCUUUCUGGACAUAGAGUCAGCAGUG